AAUCAACGCUGGCGGCGUGCCUCAGACAUGCAAGUCGAACGCGAAAGUCCCCUUCGGGGGACAAGUAGAGUGGCGCACGGGUGAGUAACACGUAGGUAAUCUACCUUCGGAUGGGGAAGUAACAACCGGAAACGGUUGCUAAUACCGCAUAAUGCAGCGGCACCUAAUGGUGACAGUUGUUAAAGCGGGGGAUCGAAAGACCCCGCGUCUGAAGAGGAGCCUGCGGCGGAUUAGCUAGNGGUAAGGUAAUGGCUUACCAAGGCGACGAUCCGUAGCCGGCCUGAGAGGGCGGUCGGCCACACUGACACUGACAUACGGGUCAGACUCCUACGGGAGGCAGCAGUCGGGAAUUUUGGGCAAUGGGCGAAAGCCUGACCCAGCAACGCCGCGUGAA
RNAcentral lists this ribosomal RNA (394 nucleotides) under uncultured bacterium. RNAcentral describes it as "bacterial SSU rRNA". It matches the Rfam family "Bacterial small subunit ribosomal RNA", at positions 32 to 405 of the family's 1533-position model. The record is from RNAcentral.